GACGAACGCUGGCGGCGUGCUUAACACAUGCAAGUCGAACGGAAAGGCCCUGCUUUUGUGGGGUGCUCGAGUGGCGAACGGGUGAGUAACACGUGAGUAACCUGCCCUUGACUUUGGGAUAACUUCAGGAAACUGGGGCUAAUACCGGAUAGGAGCUCCUGCCGCAUGGUGGGGGUUGGAAAGUUUCGGCGGUUGGGGAUGGACUCGCGGCUUAGCAGCUUGUUGGUGGGGUAGUGGCUUACCAAGGCUUUGACGGGUAGCCGGCCUGAGAGGGUGACCGGCCACAUGGGGACUGAGAGACGGCGCAGACUCCUACGGGAGGCAGCAGUGGGGAAUAUUGCACAAUGGGCGGAAGCCUGAGGCAGCAACGCCGCGUGCGGGAUGACGGCCUUCGGGUUGUAAACCGCUGUCGCCUGUGACGAAGCGGGAGUGACGGUAAUGGGUAAAGAAGCACCGGCUAACUACGUG
RNAcentral lists this ribosomal RNA (468 nucleotides) under uncultured bacterium. RNAcentral describes it as "partial 16S ribosomal RNA". It matches the Rfam family "Bacterial small subunit ribosomal RNA", at positions 28 to 507 of the family's 1533-position model. The record is from RNAcentral.